This 301-nucleotide ribosomal RNA is filed under the name uncultured bacterium. Its description in RNAcentral is "partial 16S ribosomal RNA". It matches the Rfam family "Bacterial small subunit ribosomal RNA", at positions 509 to 808 of the family's 1533-position model. The record is from RNAcentral.
CAGUAGCCACGGUAAUACGUAGGGGGCGAGCGUUGUCCGAAGUUACUGGGCGUAAAGCGCGCGUAGGCGGCUUCUUAAGUCUGAGGUGAAAGGUUCAACGCUUAACGUGAACAGUGCCUUGGAUACUGGGGAGCUUGAGUAUGGGAGAGGGCAGUGGAAUGGCUGGUGUAGCGGUGAAAUGCGUAGAUAUCAGUCGGAACACCCAUGGCGAAGGCAGCUGCCUGGCCUAAUACUGACGCUGAGGUGCGAAAGCGUGGGGAGCGAACGGGAUUAGAUACCCCCGUAGUCCCUGUCUCUUAUA